RNAcentral lists this ribosomal RNA (377 nucleotides) under uncultured bacterium. RNAcentral's name for it is "partial 16S ribosomal RNA". It matches the Rfam family "Bacterial small subunit ribosomal RNA", at positions 338 to 732 of the family's 1533-position model. The record is from RNAcentral.
CCUACGGGUGGCAGCAGUGGGGGAUAUUGCACAAUGGGGGAAACCCUGAUGCAGCGACGCCGCGUGGGGGAUGACGGUCCUCUGGAUUGUAAACCACUGUCCCCAGGGACGAAGAUGACGGUACCUGGGGAGGAAGCUCGGGCUACACACUUCCCAGCAGCCGCGGUAAAACGUAGGGAGCGGGGGUUGUCCGGAAUUACUGGGGGAAAAGGGAGCGUAGCCGGGACGGCAAGUUGGGGUGAAAAUCUACGGGCUCAACCGGUAGCCGCACUCGAAACUGCAGUUCUUGAGUAUAGUAGAGGCAGGUGGAAUUCUUGGUGUAGGGGUAAAAUGCGUAGAGAUUAAGAGGAACACCAGUUGCGAAGGCGGCCUGCUAG